UACGUAGGGUCCGAGCGUUGUCCGGAAUUAUUGGGCGUAAAGAGCUCGUAGGCGGUUUGUCGCGUCGGCUGUGAAAGCCCGGAGCUCAACUCCGGGUCUGCAGUCGAUACGGGCAGACUUGAGUGUUGCAGGGGAGACUGGAAUUCCUGGUGUAGCGGUGAAACGCGCAGAUAUCAGGAGGAACACCGAUGGCGAAGGCAGGUCUCUGGGCCGAUACUGACGCUGAGGAGCGAAAGCGUGGGGAGCGAACAGG
Molecule: ribosomal RNA, 253 nt
Filed under: uncultured bacterium
Lineage: Bacteria
Description: partial 16S ribosomal RNA
Rfam family: Bacterial small subunit ribosomal RNA
Source: RNAcentral